RNAcentral lists this ribosomal RNA (274 nucleotides) under uncultured bacterium. Its description in RNAcentral is "partial 16S ribosomal RNA". It matches the Rfam family "Bacterial small subunit ribosomal RNA", at positions 523 to 796 of the family's 1533-position model. The record is from RNAcentral.
AUACGGAGGGUGCAAGCGUUACUCGGAAUCACUGGGCGUAAAGCGCGCGCAGGCGGCUAUUUAAGUUGGAUGUGAAAGCCUACGGCUCAACCGUAGAACUGCAUCCAAAACUAUUUAGCUAGAGUGUGGGAGAGGAAGAUGGAAUUAGUUGUGUAGGGGUAAAAUCCGUAGAGAUAACUAGGAAUACCAAAAGCGAAGGCAAUCUUCUGGAACACUACUGAGGCUGAGGCGCGAAAGCGUGGGGAGCAAACAGGAUUAGAAACCCUAGUAGUCC